RNAcentral lists this ribosomal RNA (256 nucleotides) under uncultured prokaryote. Its description in RNAcentral is "partial 16S ribosomal RNA". It matches the Rfam family "Bacterial small subunit ribosomal RNA", at positions 524 to 780 of the family's 1533-position model. The record is from RNAcentral.
UACGUAGGGGACGAGCGUUGUCCGGAAUUACUGGGCGUAAAGGGCGCGCAGGCUGUAGAUCAAGUCAGCUGUGAAAUGUCUGGGCUUAACCCGGGCAUGCGGUUGAAACUGAUGUGCUGGAGUGCUGUAGAGGCAAGUGGAAUUCCCAGUGUAGCGGUGAAAUGCGUAGAUAUUGGGAAGAACACCGGUGGCGAAGGCGACUUGCUGGGCAGCAACUGACGCUGAGGCGCGAAAGCCAGGGGAGCAAACGGGAUUA